Molecule: ribosomal RNA, 429 nt
Filed under: uncultured prokaryote
Description: bacterial SSU rRNA
Rfam family: Bacterial small subunit ribosomal RNA
Source: RNAcentral
UCGAGAAUAGUCUACAAUGGUCGAAAGACUGAUAGUGCGACGCCGCGUGAACGAAGAAUCCCUUCGGGGUGUAAAGUUCUUUUUUAAUUGAGCAAUGCCUUUUAUGUGAUAAGCAUGAGAGGAGAGAUAUUAGGUUAAGAAUAAGCAACGGCUAACUACGUGCCAGCAGCCGCGGUAAUACGUAGGUCGCAAGCGUUACUCGGAAUCACUGGGCAUAAAGGGCGUGUAGGCGGACGCGUAAGUCCGGUGUGAAAUCCCUCGGCUCAACCGAGGAUGGCCAUUGGAUACUGCGUGUCUAGAGUGUGGGAGGGGAGAGUGGAACUCUUGGUGGAGCGGUGAAAUGCGUAGAUAUCAAGAGGAACGCCGGUGGCGAAAGCGGCUCUCUGGCCCAUUACUGACGCUGAGGCGCGAAAGCUAGGGGAGCAAACG